This 253-nucleotide ribosomal RNA is filed under the name uncultured bacterium. Its description in RNAcentral is "partial 16S ribosomal RNA". It matches the Rfam family "Bacterial small subunit ribosomal RNA", at positions 524 to 776 of the family's 1533-position model. The record is from RNAcentral.
UACGUAGGGGGCAAGCGUUGUCCGGAUUUAUUGGGCGUAAAGAGCGUGUAGGCGGCCAUACAGGUCAGCUGUGAAAACUCGAGGCUCAACCUCGAGACGUCGGUUGAAACCGUAUGGCUAGAGUCCGGAAGAGGAGAGUGGAAUUCCCGGUGUAGCGGUGAAAUGCGCAGAUAUCAGGAGGAACACCGGUGGCGAAGGCGGGUCUCUGGGCCGAUAUUGACGCUGAGGAGCGAAAGCGUGGGGAGCAAACAGG